This 53-nucleotide non-coding RNA is filed under the name Pseudomonas fluorescens HK44. Lineage: Bacteria; Pseudomonadati; Pseudomonadota; Gammaproteobacteria; Pseudomonadales; Pseudomonadaceae. The record is from RNAcentral.
CUAGUCUCUGGUGGUCGCUGCCCAUUCAGCGACCGGGUUUGACCGUCCGUGUA